Molecule: unclassified non-coding RNA, 436 nt
Filed under: fungal sp.
Lineage: Eukaryota; Fungi
Description: partial internal transcribed spacer region
Rfam family: Eukaryotic small subunit ribosomal RNA (bases 1-46)
Source: RNAcentral
AAGUCGUAACAAGGUUUCCGUAGGUGAACCUGCGGAAGGAUCAUUAACACGUAUCCACGUAUCUACCUCUUGCGAACUUGUUUUUGUUUUGUAGUCAUGCUCAGGUAAAAAGGAAGUAGAUGGCCAUGUUAGAAUUCAUUUUCUGUUCUACUUGCCUUUCCACCCAAUGUUUUUUGAGUGCUGGUGUAUUGAGAUCACUGUGAUGUAAUGUCAACAGUUUUCCUGCUAGCAAAAGCUCCUUGGGAUGGGUACCUGGUGUGACUCGAAUCAUGGUGGUUAUUCACUAUUAACCCUUUUUUUUAAAAAUUUUGUCUUAGUGUGAGGUGUCUGAGGGUGAGUGUAAUCGAACUUUAUUGUUUGAGAUGAGCUCUGCCCUUGUCCUCCCCAAAAAAAAAAUAACAAAGAUACAACUCUUAGCAACGGAUAUCUAGGUUCU